CCAGUAUAGAUUAUUGUGUGCCAUAUGGGGUGGUUGUCCUCUUAACCAUGAAGUGUGGAGAUAUUAGUAUGGCAUAUAGGUGAGAUGUAGGAGUACAUCGUCACCGAAUAGUGACUUACCUAUGGAGCGCUCUGCUAUCAAGGACAACUCACAAAAGAUAUGGGCAUAAGUAUCCCUCCAACCUAAGAUCACCACAGUAACUUGCAAGCAACUUACAGUACUUUGGUGCCGAACUAUCUGUAUUUCUAAUAUAGUGACGGAAGACUAUUGGGUACAGUCAAGUACUUAUGAAAUCAGUGUG
Molecule: long non-coding RNA, 301 nt
Filed under: Elaeis guineensis (African oil palm)
Lineage: Eukaryota; Viridiplantae; Streptophyta; Magnoliopsida; Arecales; Arecaceae
Description: long non-coding RNA (EGUI_LNC040898)
Source: RNAcentral